Molecule: small nucleolar RNA, 72 nt
Organism: Arabis alpina (gray rockcress)
Lineage: Eukaryota; Viridiplantae; Streptophyta; Magnoliopsida; Brassicales; Brassicaceae
Rfam family: Plant small nucleolar RNA R71
About the family: R71 is a member of the C/D box family of snoRNAs containing the C (UGAUGA) and D (CUGA) box motifs. Multiple nearly identical copies of this snoRNA have been identified in Arabidopsis, and it is thought to function as a 2'-O-ribose methylation guide for 18S ribosomal RNA.
Source: Rfam
AAACCGUGAUUAGGGCAAUCCCUAGUGUACUCCUUGAAACGUUCCAAUGCUUCAAAGAAUGACUUUGUGCUU